RNAcentral lists this long non-coding RNA (871 nucleotides) under Piliocolobus tephrosceles (Ugandan red Colobus). Its description in RNAcentral is "lncRNA (ENSPTEG00000009024.1)". Lineage: Eukaryota; Metazoa; Chordata; Mammalia; Primates; Cercopithecidae. The record is from RNAcentral.
CUUAAUUUAUUAUUUUUUUUUUUUUCUGAUAAGAUUUUUAUGUACUCCUUUCCUGCUAAAUAACCAUCUUCUUCCUUUCGUCUUAUUGUUAUUUUUUGUUCAGUAUUUUUUUGAUUUAUCUCCGAUUUUGCAUUUUCUUUAGUAAUAUGGUCAGUUUUAAACAAAAGUAAAAAAUUUUGGUUUUCUUUUAUAAAUUCAUUAUUAUUUUCUUCUUUUUUUUCGAUUUCUUUAGUAUUGUUUAUUAAAUUUGUUUUAUUAAUAUGUAAGUUAUUUUGGUUGUUUUGCUUUUGUUUGGAUAAUUUUUCCAUUUUUUCAUUAUACAUAUUAUAGCUAUAUACAUCCUUAAAGUUCUUUAUUCUGCUGUCUUGAUCCAAUUCAUUUUCUUUAAAACCUAAUUCAUUUAAGUCUUGUCUUUCAAGUAAGUUUUUAUCCAUUCUACAAAUAAAAUAUUCUUUAGAAUAAUUUCUGCAACUCAAGUGAUCAUUAUUAUGUUUUUUUUAAACAUUUCAAAUACUUAUUUUUUAUUGAUGUGCAUUCACUAUUGUGAUCUAAAAGAAAACUCCCUCUAUCGGGUUUUUUAACAAUGCUUCUUUUUUUAUCCAUUAUUUUAUAAGUUUUUGAAAAAAAAAAUAUAUAUUUUGUCCAUUUUUCAUACUUUAUGCUGUUUAAACAUUUUUAUUUAUAAUGCCCAUAUUUCUCUUUUUUUUAUUUUGCUUAUUUUACGUGCUUUGCUUGUUAUGUUAUGUUGUGUUAUGUUUUUUUUGUUAUUUUUUUUUUUUUUUUUUUUUUUUUUAUUGUUUAAUGAACCAUUUUUUUCUGAUUAUUAUUGAAAUCUUCUAAUAGACUAAUAAAUUCAUUUUUUAUACCCCCA